This 204-nucleotide long non-coding RNA is filed under the name Mytilus galloprovincialis (Mediterranean mussel). Lineage: Eukaryota; Metazoa; Mollusca; Bivalvia; Mytilida; Mytilidae. The record is from RNAcentral.
GUUUUGAUGUUAUAUUGGUUAUUCUCAUCGGAUUUUGUCUAAUGCUUAGUCAGUUGCUGUGUGUGUUACAUUUUAAUGUUGUGUCGUUGUUCUCCUCUGAUAUUUAAUGCGUUUCCCUCAGUUUUAGUUUGUUGCCCCGAUUUUGUUUUUUGUCCAUAGAUUUAUGAGUUUUGAACAGCGGUAUACUACUGUUGCCUUUAUUUA